Molecule: transfer RNA, 73 nt
Filed under: Ovis aries (sheep)
Lineage: Eukaryota; Metazoa; Chordata; Mammalia; Artiodactyla; Bovidae
Rfam family: tRNA
About the family: Transfer RNA (tRNA) molecules are approximately 80 nucleotides in length.
Source: Rfam by way of RNAcentral
UCCCUGGUGGCUCAGUGGUAAAGAAUCUGCCUGCCAAUGCAGGAGACACCAGGUUCAAUCCCUGGUCGGGGAU